Molecule: ribosomal RNA, 379 nt
Filed under: uncultured bacterium
Lineage: Bacteria
Description: bacterial SSU rRNA
Rfam family: Bacterial small subunit ribosomal RNA
Source: RNAcentral
UAAUACGUAGGGGGCAAGCGUUGUCCGGAUUCAUUGGGCGUAAAGGGCGCGUAGGCGGUUACGCAAGUCGGAUGUGAAAACUCCAGGCUCAACCUGGAGACGCCACCCGAUACUGCGUUGACUUGAGUUCGGUAGGGGAUCACGGAAUCUCUGGUGUAGCGGUGAAAUGCGCAGAUAUCAGAGGGAACACCGGUGGCGAAGGCGGUGAUCUGGGCCGACACUGACGCUGAUGCGCGAAAGCGUGGGGAGCGAACAGGAUUAGAUACCCUGGUAGUCCACGCCGUAAACGUUGGGCACUAGGUGUGGGGCCUUAUCAACGGGCUCCGUGCCGUAGCUAACGCAUUAAGUGCCCCGCCUGGGGAGUACGGUCGCAAGACUA